GAGCCCCCCCUGGGGGACCCCAGCGCCUGGCAGGAAGGGUGGCUUACAGCCUGUCUGCACCUCUAGCUCAUGUUCUGACUGCGGAUGGGCCACGGCAGAGCCGGACUCAUUUCGGCGGGUUUGUUAUUUCCAAAACACGCAAGUUUCAUUGCCCCGGCCGGUGUGGCUCAGUGGAUAGAGCAUCAGCCUGGGGACUGAAGGGGCCCGGGUUCGAUUCCGGUCGGGGCCACAGGCCAGGGUUGUGGGCUCGAUCCCUGUGGGGGGCGUGCGGGAGGCAGCCGAUCCAUGGUUCUCUCCCGUCACUGAUGUUUCUAUCCCUCCCUCUCCCUUCCCCUCUGAAAUCAAUAAAAAUACAUGUUUUUUAAUCUUUAAGAA
Molecule: long non-coding RNA, 375 nt
Organism: Myotis daubentonii (Daubenton's bat)
Lineage: Eukaryota; Metazoa; Chordata; Mammalia; Chiroptera; Vespertilionidae
Source: RefSeq, a predicted model, not a curated record